ACUCAAAUGAAUAGACGGGGGCCCGCACAAGCAGCGGAGCGUGUGGUUUAAUUCGACGCAACGCGCAACACCUUACCAGGGUUUGACAUCCCCAGAAUCCGGGUGAAAGCUCGGAGUGCCCGCAAGGGAGCUGGGAGACAGGUGCUGCAUGGCUGUCGUCAGCUCGUGUCGUGAGAUGUUGGGUUAAGUCCCGCAACGAGCGCAACCCCCGUGGCUAGUUACGUGGAUGUCUAGCCAGACUGCCGGUACCAAACCGGAGGAAGGUGGGGAUGAUGUCAAGUCAGCAUGGCCCUUACACCCUGGGCGACACACACGCUACAAUGGCCGGGACAGUGGGCCGCCAAGCGGUAACGCGGAGCCAAUCCCCCAAACCCGGUCUCAGUUCAGAUUGUGGGCUGCAACUCGCCCACAUGAAGGCGGAGUUGCUAGUAACCGCAGAUCAGCAGUGCUGCGGUGAAUAUGUUCCCGGGCCUUGUACACACCGCCCGU
RNAcentral lists this ribosomal RNA (489 nucleotides) under uncultured bacterium. RNAcentral's name for it is "partial 16S ribosomal RNA". It matches the Rfam family "Bacterial small subunit ribosomal RNA", at positions 899 to 1397 of the family's 1533-position model. The record is from RNAcentral.